Molecule: ribosomal RNA, 327 nt
Filed under: uncultured bacterium
Lineage: Bacteria
Description: bacterial SSU rRNA
Rfam family: Bacterial small subunit ribosomal RNA
Source: RNAcentral
GAUGAACGCUGGCGGCGUGCUUAACACAUGCAAGUCGAACGAAGCAUUUAGGUAUUGAAGUUUUCGGAUGGAUUUCCUUUAUGACUGAGUGGCGGACGGGUGAGUAACGCGUGGGGAACCUGCCCUAUACAGGGGGAUAACAGCUGGAAACGGCUGCUAAUACCGCAUAAGCGCACAGAAUCGCAUGAUUCAGUGUGAAAAGCCCUGGCAGUAUAGGAUGGUCCCGCGUCUGAUUAGCUGGUUGGUGAGGUAACGGCUCACCAAGGCGACGAUCAGUAGCCGGCUUGAGAGAGUGAACGGCCACAUUGGGACUGAGACACGGCCCAA